Molecule: ribosomal RNA, 301 nt
Filed under: uncultured bacterium
Lineage: Bacteria
Description: partial 16S ribosomal RNA
Rfam family: Bacterial small subunit ribosomal RNA
Source: RNAcentral
CAGCAGCCGCGGGAAUACGUAGGUGGCAAGCGUUGUCCGGAAUUAUUGGGCGUAAAGGGCUCGCAGGCGGUUUCUUAAGUCUGAUGUGAAAGCCCCCGGCUCAACCGGGGAGGGUCAUUGGAAACUGGGAAACUUGAGUGCAGAAGAGGAGAGUGGAAUUCCACGUGUAGCGGUGAAAUGCGUAGAGAUGUGGAGGAACACCAGUGGCGAAGGCGACUCUCUGGUCUGUAACUGACGCUGAGGCGCGAAAGCGUGGGGAGCAAACAGGAUUAGAUACCCCUGUAGUCCCUGUCUCUUAUAC